GCUGGGGUGUUGCUAUACGGUUGCUAGGGUACUUGGGGUGGUUGCUAAGGUGUUGCUAUGCGGUUGAUAUGGUACCCGGGGCGGUUGCAAAGGUGUUGCUAUGUGGUCGUUAAGGUACCCUUGGUGGUUGCUAAAACGUUGCUAUGCGGUUGCUAGGGUACUUGGGGUGGUUGCUAAGGUGUUGCUAUGCGGUUGAUAUGGUACCCGGGGCGGUUGCAAAGGUGUUGCUAUGUGGUCGUUAAGGUACCCUUGGUGGUUGCUAAAACGUUGCUAUGCGGUUGCUAGGGUACUUGGGGUGGUUGCUAAGGUGUUGCUAUGCGGUUGAUAUGGUACCCGGGGCGGUUGCAAAGGUGUUGCUAUGCGGUUGCUAAGGUACUCAGGGUGGUUGCUUGGGUGUUGCUCUGCAUUUGCUAGGGUACCCGGCGUGGUUGCUAAGGUGUUGCUAUUUGGUUGCUAGGGUACCCGGGGCGGUUGCUAAGGUGUUGCUAUGCGGUUG
This is a long non-coding RNA of Sinocyclocheilus grahami, 496 nucleotides long. RefSeq lists it as uncharacterized. Lineage: Eukaryota; Metazoa; Chordata; Actinopteri; Cypriniformes; Cyprinidae. The transcript is spliced from 4 exons. The record is from RefSeq and is a predicted model, not a curated record.